This 360-nucleotide RNase P RNA is filed under the name Ramlibacter tataouinensis. RNAcentral's name for it is "Bacterial RNase P class A". It matches the Rfam family "Bacterial RNase P class A". From Rfam's summary of the family: Ribonuclease P (RNase P) is a ubiquitous endoribonuclease, found in archaea, bacteria and eukarya as well as chloroplasts and mitochondria. The record is from Rfam by way of RNAcentral. Lineage: Bacteria; Pseudomonadati; Pseudomonadota; Betaproteobacteria; Burkholderiales; Comamonadaceae.
GAAGCCCGCCAGGCCGCCGCUGGUGCCACACGGGAAACCAGGCACUGGAGGAACGUCCGGACUGCACAGGACAGCGUAGCAGGUAACACCUGUCCACCGCGAGGUGAGGAUCAGAGCAACAGAGACGAGUCCUGUGCCCAACCCUUCGAAAGAAGGGGCGGGCGCAGGGGUGAAACGGGCAAUCUCUACGCGCAGCAAUACCAAAUAGGCCGGCAGUGGGCGCAAGCCCUGUCCCGUGGUCCGCGGGAUGCCGGCGGGUAGGUAGCACCGAGCCGGGACGGCGACGCCCGGCCCAGAGGAAUGGCGGUCACGUCCGGGCAACCGGACGCCACAGAAUCCGGCGUACGGCGGACUUCACAC